This 402-nucleotide ribosomal RNA is filed under the name uncultured bacterium. RNAcentral describes it as "bacterial SSU rRNA". It matches the Rfam family "Bacterial small subunit ribosomal RNA", at positions 355 to 774 of the family's 1533-position model. The record is from RNAcentral.
UCGGGAAUUUUGGGCAAUGGGCGAAAGCCUGACCCAGCAACGCCGCGUGAGGGAUGAAGUAUUUCGGUAUGUAAACCUCGAAAGAAUGGGAAGAAUAAAUGACGGUACCAUUUAUAAGCUCCGGCUAACUACGUGCCAGCAGCCGCGGUAAUACGUAGGGAGCAAGCGUUGUUCGGAUUUACUGGGCGUAAAGGGCGCGUAGGCGGCGCGGUAAGUCACUUGUGAAAUCUCUGAGCUUAACUCAGAACGGCCAAGUGAUACUGCUGUGCUAGAGUGCGGAAGAGGCAACCGGAAUUCUUGGUGUAGCGGUGAAAUGCGUAGAUAUCAAGAGGAACACCUGAGGCGAAGGCGGGUUGCUGGGCCGACACUGACGCUGAUGCGCGAGAGCCAGGGGAGCAAACG